Molecule: ribosomal RNA, 497 nt
Filed under: uncultured bacterium
Lineage: Bacteria
Description: partial 16S ribosomal RNA
Rfam family: Bacterial small subunit ribosomal RNA
Source: RNAcentral
GAUGAACGCUGGCGGCGUGCCUAAUACAUGCAAGUCGAGCGAACAGAUGAGGAGCUUGCUCCUCGGACGUUAGCGGCGGACGGGUGAGUAACACGUGGAUAACCUACCUAUAAGACUGGGAUAACUUCGGGAAACCGGAGCUAAUACCGGAUAAUAUAUUGAACCGCAUGGUUCAAUAGUGAAAGACGGUUUUGCUGUCACUUCUAGAUGGAUCCGCGCCGCAUUAGCUAGUUGGUAAGGUAACGGCUUACCAAGGCAACGAUGCGUAGCCGACCUGAGAGGGUGAUCGGCCACACUGGAACUGAAACACGGUCCAGACUCCUACGGGAGGCAGCAGUAGGGAAUCUGCCGCAAUGGGCGGAAGCCUGGCGGAGCAGCGCCGCGUGAGUGAUGAAGGUCUUCGGAUCGUAAAACUCUGUUAUUAGGGAAGAACAAAUGUGUAAGUAACUAUGCACGUCUUGACGGUACCUAAUCAGAAAGCCACGGCUAACUACGUG